Molecule: ribosomal RNA, 477 nt
Filed under: uncultured bacterium
Lineage: Bacteria
Description: bacterial SSU rRNA
Rfam family: Bacterial small subunit ribosomal RNA
Source: RNAcentral
GAUGAACGCUGGCGGCGUGCUUAACACAUGCAAGUCGAACGGACCUUGAAAAGCUUGCUCCCAAAGUUAGUGGCGGACGGGUGAGUAACGCGUGGGUAACCUGCCCUAUGCAGGGGGAUAACGUUUGGAAACGAACGCUAAUACCGCAUAACCUAAUGAAGCUGCAUGGCUUCAUUAGCAAAGAUUUAUCGGCAUAGGAGGGACCCGCGUUGGAUUAGCUAGUUGGUGAGAUAACAGCUCACCAAGGCGACGAUCCAUAGCCGGCCUGAGAGGGUGAACGGCCACACUGGGACUGAGACACGGCCCAGACUCCUACGGGAGGCAGCAGUGGGGAAUAUUGCACAAUGGGCGCAAGCCUGAUGCAGCGACGCCGCGUGAAGGAUGAAGGUUUUCGGAUCGUAAACUUCUAUCAGCAGGGAAGAAACCAAUGACGGUACCUGACUAAGAAGCCCCGGCUAACUACGUGCCAGCCGCCGC